This 83-nucleotide transfer RNA is filed under the name Oryzias latipes (Japanese medaka). RNAcentral describes it as "tRNA-Leu (CAA) (tRNA-Leu-CAA-26-1)". It matches the Rfam family "tRNA". From Rfam's summary of the family: Transfer RNA (tRNA) molecules are approximately 80 nucleotides in length. Lineage: Eukaryota; Metazoa; Chordata; Actinopteri; Beloniformes; Adrianichthyidae. The record is from Rfam by way of RNAcentral.
ACCAGGAUGGCCGAGUGGUUAAGGCGUUGGACUCAAGAUCCAAUCAGCGUGUGCUCACGUGGGUUCAAAUCCUACUCCUGGUA